Molecule: long non-coding RNA, 3142 nt
Organism: Lolium perenne
Lineage: Eukaryota; Viridiplantae; Streptophyta; Magnoliopsida; Poales; Poaceae
Source: RefSeq, a predicted model, not a curated record
AAUAAACACCGUUCCUAAUUUUCAGCUAGAUGAAAACAUAAUUGGCUUCAAGUCAGAUCUCUGGCCGUUGGUUCUAUUUCUGGUGCGAAUCUCGUCGCUCUCUCUUUGGCGCAUCGCGUCGUUCUCUCGUCCGCACCGCUUCUCGCUCUCUCGUCGUUCAGUCUGGUUUUUAUUUUGGUCCGUUUUUUUUUGGUUUUAUCUGUUUGAAUUUCAUUUGCCUUUCCCCUUUUCCUCUCUUCGGUUCUCAGGGGAGGAGGAGAGAUUCUGAGAGUAGGGCGUGGGUGGUGGUCUGUGAGCACGGCGGAGGGCUUGGCUCUGCCGUCGGGGAGAUUGAAUCGGCGAAGUUUUACCAGAGCGAGGUGCUUGGUCGAGUCCGCCCAUUCCUCAUAUCAUCGGAAGUAUGGGUCUGCAAGGUGACGGAGGACCUGGCUUGCUCAGUGUGGCGAAUGUUCCAGCGAGCGACCAUGGUUUCGAUUUUCGACGUCGGGGUAGGAGCCGUCGUCGCCGGUAGGACGGGCAUUGUGUUGAUCCUCAUUGUGGAGAUGUUUCUCACUUCGGUUUAUCAAAUCCAUUAUGAAAUAAGCUCAACUUCUGAUGAUUUAGUAGUUACUACUCUGCCUUUUCUUGCAUUUUUACGUAAAUUAUUUGAUGAAUUUAAAAAUGUAGCAUAUGAAUCUAUGUUACUAUUUUAUUUUUAGUUUGAAACUUUACCUCGUCUAGCUAGGUGUUGUUAAACAUGCCUACAUCCCAUGGAUUUUCAUCUUCCUCUCUGACCAAUGUAGCGGUUGAUUCUAUUCUCUUCAUUUAUUCAGAGAUAAAUAUAUCAUUUAUAACAUUAUUACAUUUUUCAUCUAUCUAUCAUUCUCAUUUAAUUAGAUAUUUUUGGAAUACCUGACCAUGACGCUGUUGAUACACUUCAGGAUCGUGUAUAUCACCAAGUAGCAGCCAUGUGUAAGUGAAUCCUUCCUGCAAAAUCAAGCAGAGCAUUGUCAUUAAUUGUAGAAAUUUGAAUUGAUGUUUCACAUCUGACUAUGUGUGUACCUGGGUGAAAAAUUUGUCCUAUAUACCAGGGGAUGUUUCGAAACUUUGAGAUUGUGUUCUUGAUAGAUUCUGCAUCAAAAAGUUUUCUGGCUUAAACAUUGGAAUAUAUACAUAGUCUAUGUAUAUUCUGUGAACAAUAAAUGUUUUUGCAAUAAAGUAAAAGAUGGUUACUCUGCAAUCACAAUCUAAUUCUGCAUGUCAAGUUUUUGGAGAAGCAUAACAUGUUUCAUGGCGUCAUUCUCUUUUUAGGUUCAUUCUCUCAUUCUUAGUUCCCUUUUCAGAUAUUUGUUUCAUACUUCAGAUAUUUCUCAGUCCUCUAUCUCAGUUCCCUCUUCAGAUCUUUGUUUAGUUUUUAUUCCUCAUUCUUCAUUUUUCAUUUGUCUCUUCUCCUUUAUCUCUUAUUUACUCAUUCUGCUCAGUCUCUCCUUCUUCAGAUAUCUUUUAGUUUUUAGUCAUCAUUCUUCAAUUUUCAUUUGUCUCUUAUUUACUCAUUCUAUUCAUUGCCUUGUGCUUGUAGUUCUUCAUUUUUUCUUCCGUUUUUUCUCAGUAAAUUCAUUUUCUCUUUAGUUUUUUCUCAGUAAAUUCACUUUUAGUCAUCAUUAUUCAAUUUUCAUUUCUUUGUGCUCCUUUAUAUCUUAUUUACUCAUUCUCCUCAGUCCCUUGUUCAAUACCUUUUAGGGUUUAGGUUCAUUUUAUCAUUCUAUGUAUUGUCUUUAGUCAUUUUUCUUUGAUCCGUCUCAGUUUUUUUCAGUUUCUUCUCAGCUAAUUCAUCAUUCUCACUCAUUUUUUCUUCAAUUUUUAUCAGCUUUAAAAUUUAUGCUACACUUUCCUAGUCCUUCGUCAUUUUUUAUUUUUUGGCACUAGCAUGUAGGUAAGACAUAUCUGCAUCUUAGUUUUCUUGUUCUCAUUUUCUUCAUGUAUCUCAUUAUCUAUUUGUAACUAUUCAGGUAUACUUGUGUUUUGAUGAUUUUCGCCUCUGUUCCGAAUGCUUAUUUGUAUUCAGUUAUCAUUCCUUCGUUGAAUUGUUGUGUUGCUUGCUUAUUCUUCAUAUUCUUUCAUCCCUGGUGGGUCAGUAGGUACCUUAGUUUUUGUUUGUUGCUAUGUUUGGCUGGCGACGGUUCUCUUGUGGUCAUUUAUAUUUUUUCAUUUUCCGGUAGUGUCUGAGAGAUUUUCAUAUGUUGAUGCAUUACUAUAGACCAGCUGCCAUUGGCCAACGGUUGUGAGCACAACGCAUCAUAAGUGUGGCAGCUUAGCUUACUCAUUCCAAAAGUUAACAAUUUUUGUUUGCACCACUACAGACUUGCACAUGGACUUCUGGUGCAGGUUAAGGGAUGUGUAUUUAGCAGUCUUAGUUUAGAUCAUGUGCUACUGCAGCUUUUAUGUACUUGAUGAUCCUGCGGGUAGGGCACUAGGCUGUAAGGAGCUAUUCCUUUUCUCUAUUUUUCAGGAGCUAUUUGUUUCAUAGGUUUUGUAUUUUUUUAGUCUGAUCAUGAUCAUGUGGCAAACACAACUAGUGAAACAUAAACAUGGCGGCCUUUUUAAUGUGUUCCAGCAAGUAAAGUAGUUCAUACUAGCAUACAUUGUAGUUUCAGACCAUGACCUCUUAGUGUUAUUUAUCUGAUGACAUAGCCUAUUAUUUUUGGACUUUAUACUCAACCUGAUGGUGUACAUAUAUGAGAAAAAAGCAUGCUUGCCCUUAGGGAUGCCACUAUGCACAGAUAGAUUUGGUGGUUUUCACUACUUGCUAAGAACAUUUUGCGUUUUCCUUCGCAGAUCAACACAUUGCUUGUGGGAUAGAUACAUGAUCCAUCAAGAAACAAGGUUCUGAAAAGUAGUAAGACGAGAGAGGGGAGAAGUGAUGACUUGCAUGUCCUGAGAGUGUAUGAGAGGAGAAGAGAGAUGGAUCACGUGCAGGCAGCUGGCAGACCAGGCCAACUAUGGGAGACCCUGUUACAUGUUUCCUAUCGAAGUUACGGCAUGCAAGGCUAGUGUACACAACGGGCUUUUUAUUGAUUCAAUCCAUAUGUUUUGCUAGCUAAUGAAUGCCCAGUUCUGCUGGUGUAUGGAAAAAACUAGAAAAAACCGGACUGAACUGAUUCAA